AGAGUGGCGACCGGCGCACGGGUGAGUAACACGUAUCCAACCUGCCGAUAACUCGGGGAUAGCCUUUCGAAAGAAAGAUUAAUACCCGAUGGCAUAAUAGAACCGCAUGGUUUGAUUAUUAAAGAAUUUCGGUUAUCGAUGGGGAUGCGUUCCAUUAGGCAGUUGGUGGGGUAACGGCCCACCAAACCUUCGAUGGAUAGGGGUUCUGAGAGGAAGGUCCCCCACAUUGGAACUGAGACACGGUCCAA
This 248-nucleotide ribosomal RNA is filed under the name uncultured bacterium. Its description in RNAcentral is "partial 16S ribosomal RNA". It matches the Rfam family "Bacterial small subunit ribosomal RNA", at positions 85 to 334 of the family's 1533-position model. The record is from RNAcentral.